RNAcentral lists this ribosomal RNA (550 nucleotides) under uncultured bacterium. RNAcentral describes it as "partial 16S ribosomal RNA". It matches the Rfam family "Bacterial small subunit ribosomal RNA", at positions 355 to 895 of the family's 1533-position model. The record is from RNAcentral.
UGGGGAAUUUUGGACAAUGGGCGAAAGCCUGAUCCAGCAAUGCCGCGUGUGUGAAGAAGGCCUUCGGGUUGUAAAGCACUUUUGUCCGGAAAGAAAUCCUUGGCUCUAAUACAGUCGGGGGAUGACGGUACCGGAAGAAUAAGCACCGGCUAACUACGUGCCAGCAGCCGCGGUAAUACGUAGGGUGCAAGCGUUAAUCGGAAUUACUGGGCGUAAAGCGUGCGCAGGCGGUUUGCUAAGACCGAUGUGAAAUCCCCGGGCUCAACCUGGGAACUGCAUUGGUGACUGGCAGGCUAGAGUAUGGCAGAGGGGGGUAGAAUUCCACGUGUAGCAGUGAAAUGCGUAGAGAUGUGGAGGAAUACCGAUGGCGAAGGCAGCCCCCUGGGCCAAAUACUGACGCUCAUGCACGAAAGCGUGGGGAGCAAAACAGGAUUAGAUACCCUGGGUAGUCCACGCCCUAAACGAUGUCAACUAGUUGUCGGGGAUUCAUUUCCUUAGUAACGUAGCUAACGCGUGAAGUUGACCGCCUGGGGAGUACGGUCGCAAGAUU